CAGGGUAGGCGUGAGGUCACUGAGCUGGGCGAGCCAGCCCCCGACCCACCUGCUCCGUUGCCCGAGCCCCGCACCCCAGCCACGCUCACAACCCGCCCCCUGUGGCCCCGGCUGCUCCGACUUGGGGUCUUACUGUUCAGUCCUUGGGCUCACACAGAUCUGCCUGCUCUGAACGCUGGGGGUGAAAGGUAUGGACAACCAUCCCUGGCAUGUUCUUUACAUUGUAAAGGAAAGCACCCAAGUUGGAAAGACUAUAUAGAAAACUCAGUAUCUGCAAACAAGAAGUCAGGUUGCCUGCCUGGCAGAUCCUCACUUGAAUGUGGCCUCCCUCAGGAGGUGGGUGAUGAUGGGCACUGCAGUCAGGCGACUCUGCUCCUAAGUAGAGGAACAUGGAGCUGCACCCCACCUGAGAAACCUAUUUCUGCCAGGCUUUCCCUGGCUCCACUCCUGUACCACAAACCUGCCAUAGAGAAGUCUCUUUACCUGCUGUAUCAGAAACUGAUUAUGGAGUCCAAGCAAGCAAAGACCAGUCGGCACAGACUCAAAGUUAGCAUGUAUUUUCAUUUCUACAAGAUCCUUUUUGAGUUGUAGGGAAAUUAAAUCGAUGUAUAUACAAAUUAGACACUGCUAGUAUGUACAAAAGUCUUUUCUACAUUUUUGACAAUAUCAACUAUGCCAUUUGCAGUAAACAGGAUGUUACAAAACUGUCCAAUAAAGCAUUUUCUAUUAAGCACA
Long non-coding RNA from Alexandromys fortis (reed vole), 735 nucleotides. RefSeq lists it as uncharacterized. The record is from RefSeq and is a predicted model, not a curated record. NCBI's taxonomy places the organism in Eukaryota, Metazoa, Chordata, Mammalia, Rodentia, Cricetidae. The transcript is spliced from 2 exons.